CCUACGGGAGGCUGCAGUGAGGAAUAUUGGUCAAUGGACGAGAGUCUGAACCAGCCAAGUAGCGUGAAGGAUGACUGCCCUAUGGGUUGUAAACUUCUUUUAUAUGGGAAUAAAACGUUCCACGUGUGGGAUUUUGUAUGUACCAUAUGAAUAAGGAUCGGCUAACUCCGUGCCAGCAGCCGCGGUAAUACGGAGGAUCCGAGCGUUAUCCGGAUUUAUUGGGUGUAAAGGGAGCGUAGGUGGAUUGUUAAGUCAGUUGUGAAAGUUUGCGGCUCAACCGUAAAAUUGCAGUUGAAACUGGCAGUCUUGAGUACAGUAGAGGUGGGCGGAAUUCGUGGUGUAGCGGUGAAAUGCUUAGAUAUCACGAAGAACUCCGAUUGCGAAGGCAGUUCACUGGACUGCAACUGACACUGAGGCUCGAAAGUGUGGGUAUCAAACAGGAGUAGAUACCCCAGUAGUG
This 460-nucleotide ribosomal RNA is filed under the name uncultured bacterium. RNAcentral's name for it is "partial 16S ribosomal RNA". It matches the Rfam family "Bacterial small subunit ribosomal RNA", at positions 338 to 795 of the family's 1533-position model. The record is from RNAcentral.